UCAUUUCCCCAAAGUCUACUUGGAUUAUUUGAUUUCUUAGGUUCUGACCUUUACUUGUAUUUACCACCAAUCCUAAUAUGGGCUAACAGUUCGCUACUCUAUGGAUAAGUGAAGUUUCACCAAAUGUUACUACAGAGCAUGAAUAAUAUUAUUGAUCAUUAAAUAUAUGUCAUUGCUGAUGUUAGCACCAUAAACACCCAUGCUUCAUGCGCUAUUCUCACUUUUGCCUUUGGCAAAUGGCGAAAACUACCACCUAUAAAAUGCCAAUUUUUAACAUAACAAAGGACGGAAAUGCUUUUAAUGAGCCAUUUAAGCAAGGUAAAAAUAACAACCCAAGCCAAUUAUCCUUAAGACACAUACCAAAGUUCUUUUUGAAUAACCACCAAAAUGUAAGCUAAUCAUUCCAUGCACAUAUUUAUCAUUUGACGAUCAUUUUGAUGGCAUGUGCCAGUGAAGAUUACUAAGAUGAUGAUCAUUCUACCAUUGUAAUUAGUGCGAAAAAUAUUCUAUACCUUUUAUGUAUGGGAAAAGUUUAUAUAAGGUUGCAACCUUAAAUGUAGAAUCACAGAUGCACCGCAAAAAUCUAGUGGAAAAGCUGUUUUAAUGUUGAAAAACCUAAUAAUUGAUCAUUUGACAUCGUGAUGUAUGAAUAUUAAAAAAACGAAGUUUUUGAGUCCCAAAAAUAGUGCAUCUUGCAAUACAUUAUUUAGACCGUCCAUUUUCAAUAUUUUCGUAUAUUUAUAGAUCUAAUUGAUUUUAACCAUUUUUGGAAUUAAAAUUUUCUAGUUAGAUAUGAAAAUAGUUUUUAAGAUAAUCCUAAAAAAAAUUUGCAACAAAAUUACAUGUUAUGAUAAAAUUGCGAGGUGCGCCUUAAUUGGAUUGUUUAAGGUUGCAACCAUAUAGAAACCGCGCCCUUUAUGUAUAUGGAAUGCGGUUCUCAGACCCCAGAUACAAUGUCCAUGUUUAUUCAAAGACAGUGUUGAUGGGCUCUAACCCACUUUUAAAGUCGCAUGGUUUUUUGGUGGGAACAGUUAUUCAACUUCUCCGCCUAUGGAAGCUUGGAUGUUGGAUGUCAGGCGAGAGCGCCUUAAUACUAAGAUGAAGUGUCGUAUCGAGUCCAUUAUUAAUUGCUGACUUUUGAGUUAUCAAAACAAAAAAGAAUUAUGGUGGCUAUUGUGUCUAAGUGAGUAUGUAUAAUCAGGUGUGGUCAUAUGUGCUGUUGCACAUCAUGCUCGUCGCACUUGACAAGCUGCCCACUUUGCCGGCGAAGGAUAGAACAGGUUGUGAAGACCUUUCGACAUUGAUACCCCACACAUCAGGCACUGUAUGUAGUUUUUGCCGGCGAAGGAUAGAACAGGUUGUGAAGACCUUUCGACAUUGAUACCCCACACAUCAGGCACUGUAUGUGUAUACAAUGAAGACCGUUACCUUUCAUACACAAAGGCCCCACAAAUCCGAGUUC
RNAcentral lists this long non-coding RNA (1462 nucleotides) under Amborella trichopoda. RNAcentral's name for it is "long non-coding RNA (ATRI_LNC004027)". Lineage: Eukaryota; Viridiplantae; Streptophyta; Magnoliopsida; Amborellales; Amborellaceae. The record is from RNAcentral.